This 301-nucleotide ribosomal RNA is filed under the name uncultured bacterium. Its description in RNAcentral is "partial 16S ribosomal RNA". It matches the Rfam family "Bacterial small subunit ribosomal RNA", at positions 509 to 809 of the family's 1533-position model. The record is from RNAcentral.
CAGCCGCCACGGUAAUACAGAGGGUGCGAGCGUUAAUCGGAUUUACUGGGCGUAAAGCGUGCGUAGGCGGCUUUUUAAGUCGGAUGUGAAAUCCCUGAGAUUAACUUAGGAAUUGCAUUCGAUACUGGGAAGCUAGAGUAUGGGAGAGGAUGGUAGAAUUCCAGGUGUAGCGGUGAAAUGCGUAGAGAUCUGGAGGAAUACCGAUGGCGAAGGCAGCCAUCUGGCCUAAUACUGACGCUGAGGUACGAAAGCAUGGGGAGCAAACAGGAUUAGAUACCCGCGUAGUCCCUGUCUCUUAUAA